This is a regulatory RNA element of Clostridium sp. CAG:307, 75 nucleotides long. It matches the Rfam family "c-di-GMP-I riboswitch aptamer". From Rfam's summary of the family: GEMM was predicted in a large-scale screen for bacterial structured RNA regulatory elements. Genes associated with GEMM are involved in a diverse array of functions, including chemotaxis regulation, signal transduction, secretion and chitin. The record is from Rfam. Lineage: Bacteria; Bacillati; Bacillota; Clostridia; Eubacteriales; Clostridiaceae.
UAAUAAUUUAUGCAAAGCAGUAGCAAUACUGUGACGCAAAGCUAUAGGGUCUUUCUAAGAUAGCCAGUUGCACAA